CUUCCAUGAUGAAUUAAUCAAGAAUUCUGCAAUCCUGACAAUCUCCUACUUUUUGUGAGAUUGCAUGUUGACUCUUCUACACUUGAUCUGACC
This is a non-coding RNA of Aspergillus niger ATCC 1015, 93 nucleotides long. The record is from Rfam. NCBI's taxonomy places the organism in Eukaryota, Fungi, Ascomycota, Eurotiomycetes, Eurotiales, Aspergillaceae.